ACGUUUUAUUUUUAACUCUAAUUGUUGUAAUAUUUUAUUUUAUAUUAUUUUUUAUUUUUGCUUUUUGUAAAAAAAUUUAAUUUCUAUUUGUUUUUUUAAAAUAUUAAAAAUUUGGAAUUUUGAACUGGAUUAGUACCCAGGUAAACAAAAUUUAUUAAUGCGGGAGUAAAUUUUUAUUUAAACCGAAAUAAUAUUGACUGAUCUUGGAUUUUUCUUUGGAACAUGUGUUUGGAGAGCCCUCCUUGAAUUUUUAUUAUUUUUUGGUACAUGUAUGAUUGUUUAGUUUUUAUAUUAUUUAUAAUGCUUUUUUUUUUAAUUAAAAACAGAUAGAUACUUGGCUUAUAUGGUGGUUAUUUCAUGUGUUACUAUUAUUAAUUUUUUUCGGAUAAAUUAUUUAUUUUAUUUUUUGAAGUUGGAAAAGAAAGUAAUCUUUUUUAAAUGUUGUGAUGA
RNAcentral lists this ribosomal RNA (450 nucleotides) under Piratuba scaffi. Its description in RNAcentral is "partial 12S ribosomal RNA". The record is from RNAcentral. Lineage: Eukaryota; Metazoa; Nematoda; Chromadorea; Rhabditida; Onchocercidae.